GACGAACGCUGGCGGCGUGCUUAACACAUGCAAGUCGAACGGUAAGGCCCUUCGGGGUACACGAGUGGCGAACGGGUGAGUAACACGUGGGUGAUCUGCCCUGCACUUCGGGAUAAGCCUGGGAAACUGGGUCUAAUACCGGAUAGGACCCUGGGAUGCAUGUCCUGGGGUGGAAAGCUUUUGCGGUGUGGGAUGGGCCCGCGGCCUAUCAGCUUGUUGGUGGGGUGAUGGCCUACCAAGGCGACAACGGGUAGCCGGCCUGAGAGGGUGACGUGCCACACUGGGCCUGACAUACGGCCCAGACUCCUACGGGAGGCAGCAGUGGGGAAUAUUGCACAAUGGGCGCAAGCCUGAUGCAGCGACGCCGCGUGAGGGAUGACGGCCUUCGGGUUGUAAACCUCUUUCAGCACCGACGAAGCGCAAGUGACGGUAGGUGCAGAAGAAGGACCGGCCAACUACGUGCCAGCCGCCGCCGUAA
This 478-nucleotide ribosomal RNA is filed under the name uncultured bacterium. Its description in RNAcentral is "partial 16S ribosomal RNA". It matches the Rfam family "Bacterial small subunit ribosomal RNA", at positions 28 to 523 of the family's 1533-position model. The record is from RNAcentral.